CUGUAGAUUUUGGGAACAGCGCCCUGUCAGAUUUUCUAAUUGCUUCAGAUUCAGAGUGAACAUAAAGAAAUGUCAUUUUAUUUGCUGGGUUAUUUUUAGUUCUCUCAGUAUAUGUGAUUCCUCCUGAACAACUUACCUCAAUUACCGAUGAUGCUGGGUAUCACUAAAUAUGUUUUUACUUCAACUCUCAACUAUGAAACGUUAUGUGUUGAUGGUUCACAGCUUACACCCUAAAUUAAAAGUUGUUAGCUAUUUUGUACUCAGUUUUUAAUCGAGCUGAGGCGUUUGACGACCAUACCUCCAAUACUAAGGUACAUUAAGUUCAUUCCUUGUUUGAUUAUGGUGGUUCUUCUUCUUCCAAGGCUUUUCCGAACCCAAAGCAUUCUUGAUUAUGAUCUGUAUACUUACAAAUUCGGAACAAUAUUGGGCUGCGAUCCAAGACCCAGAGGGAUGUCAUUAAAGGUAUACACUCUCAAUUUGUUUAUAUGUUGUGAAUUGAAGUACUCUCAGUAUAAACAUAUUGUUCUGUUUGAUCUGUUUCAAUGUGAAUAUCAAUGUUUCCAUAGAAAGAUCAGUUCUCGAUGAUCAGAGCGCCUGCGGAUAGAGGUAGUAAAGGCAAGAGUCUGGGCGACAAGGUUGCUGUCAUCAAGAGGUGCUCCAGCUGCGGCAAGAGCAUCAACAACCGUCUUGAUUUGCUACAGAUAGUCGGUGAUGGAGAGGCUACCCUUUUGAAUGGUCUGAAUCUGUUGGUUCAUAGGAUCUGGUCAAGGCAGCAAGUUUGCGCUCGAGAGUGAGCCAAAGAGAGCUUGCAGAGGUAGAGCCAACUGCGAAAGGGACGAAGAACUCAGAGAGAGAAGCAAUCGGCCAAAUUCGACAGCUAAAGUCUGGUAUGUCAUGGUUUGAGAUCGAGAAUUUCCUUUCUAAGGACUUAUUCCUGGAUCGGUAGCAGCAUUGAUCUUAUUGCACGUUUUCAAGGCUACUUCCAAUGGAGCAGUUCAUCAAAAUUGUAAAAUUUCAAUACUCAUUCUGCAAGGAUACUAAGAAAGGAUACUUUAUCCUUUUACAAGGAAGGCUCCAAUUCAGUUUCUGCUUUCAAGCUUGAGACGUGUUGCUCUCUAACGUUAGCUCUCAUCGAAACUUUCCACAAUUCACAUGGAAUAUUGCAGCUUGGGCAGACAACGAUGUUUGACGAAUCUGUGAAUGUCAAGCAGCUUGAGAACAUAUUGUGAUCCAUGUCAACUUCCACUAUCGGAUAGCCUAUCCGCAGCAAAGCGCGGGCACGCUUUCUAGUUUUCUUUUGUUCUUUGGUUGAUGAUAAGUGUUGUUCAAUUGAUCAAACAUGUUUAUCAGCUAUAUAUGUAUUUGAAUCUGGUAUUCAUGUUUUGGUGCAUUUUAUAUAAAAUUUAUUAUUUGGCUU
Long non-coding RNA from Rosa rugosa (rugosa rose), 1417 nucleotides. RefSeq lists it as uncharacterized. The transcript has 9 exons. Lineage: Eukaryota; Viridiplantae; Streptophyta; Magnoliopsida; Rosales; Rosaceae. The record is from RefSeq and is a predicted model, not a curated record.